UACGUAGGGUCCGAGCGUUGUCCGGAAUUACUGGGCGUAAAGCGCGCGCAGGCGGCCCGCGAGGUGUCACGUGAAAGCCCCGGGCUCAACCCGGGAGGGUCGUGGCAAACCGGCGGGCUUGAGGCCGGUAGAGGUGGGUGGAACUCCUGGUGGAGUGGUGAAAUGCGUAGAUAUCGGAAGGAACACCAGUGGCGAAAGCGGCUUCCUGGUCCAGCACCGACGUUCAGGCACGAAAGCGUGGGGAGCAAACAGG
RNAcentral lists this ribosomal RNA (253 nucleotides) under uncultured bacterium. Its description in RNAcentral is "partial 16S ribosomal RNA". It matches the Rfam family "Bacterial small subunit ribosomal RNA", at positions 524 to 776 of the family's 1533-position model. The record is from RNAcentral.